This 721-nucleotide ribosomal RNA is filed under the name Paracoccus aminovorans. RNAcentral's name for it is "bacterial SSU rRNA". It matches the Rfam family "Bacterial small subunit ribosomal RNA", at positions 28 to 776 of the family's 1533-position model. The record is from RNAcentral. Lineage: Bacteria; Pseudomonadati; Pseudomonadota; Alphaproteobacteria; Rhodobacterales; Paracoccaceae.
GACGAACGCUGGCGGCGUGCUUAACACAUGCAAGUCGAACGGAAAGGCCCCCACUUUUUUGGUGGGGGUGCUCGAGUGGCGAACGGGUGAGUAACGCGUGGGAAUAUGCCUCUUGGUACGGAAUAGCCUCGGGAAACUGGGAGUAAUACCGUAUGUGCCCUUUGGGGGAAAGAUUUAUCGCCAAGAGAUUAGCCCGCGUUGGAUUAGGUAGUUGGUGGGGUAAUGGCCUACCAAGCCGACGAUCCAUAGCUGGUUUGAGAGGAUGAUCAGCCACACUGGGACUGAGACACGGCCCAGACUCCUACGGGAGGCAGCAGUGGGGAAUCUUAGACAAUGGGGGCAACCCUGAUCUAGCCAUGCCGCGUGAGUGAUGAAGGCCUUAGGGUUGUAAAGCUCUUUCAGCUGGGAAGAUAAUGACGGUACCAGCAGAAGAAGCCCCGGCUAACUCCGUGCCAGCAGCCGCGGUAAUACGGAGGGGGCUAGCGUUGUUCGGAAUUACUGGGCGUAAAGCGCACGUAGGCGGACCAGAAAGUUGGGGGUGAAAUCCCGGGGCUCAACCCCGGAACUGCCUUCAAAACUAUUGGUCUGGAGUUCGAGAGAGGUGAGUGGAAUUCCGAGUGUAGAGGUGAAAUUCGUAGAUAUUCGGAGGAACAUCAGUGGCGAAGGCGGCUCACUGGCUCGAUACUGACGCUGAGGUGCGAAAGCGUGGGGAGCAAACAGG